Mangifera indica (mango) is the source of this 1813-nucleotide long non-coding RNA. RefSeq lists it as uncharacterized. NCBI's taxonomy places the organism in Eukaryota, Viridiplantae, Streptophyta, Magnoliopsida, Sapindales, Anacardiaceae. The record is from RefSeq and is a predicted model, not a curated record. The transcript has 2 exons.
UAACUUUUUCCUAGAGUACUAGUGGUAAUGAACAGUUCAAGUUAUUUAUUUCUAGUGAGAUAUUCAAAAAAAAUUUAUUAUAAGUUUUCUUAACCAAUGUUUUAGACAUGUUAUUUUCAUAAUUUAAGUAUAUCAUAUAACCUAUAUGACUUUUUUGUUCCAUUAAUUUUCUUUCAAAAUUUUCAAUACGCAUUGAAACCAUUUACAAUUUUAUUGUUGUGAGUAUGUUACCAAAUUCAAUAUCGAAAAGUAGUUAUAAAUUUGGUUUAGUUGAAAAUUUCAGGAAGCCCCUUGAAAAAAGUUAGAGGUUGUUUAUAUUUCUCUAUGUUCAUUGAGAAGUUCCCAAAAUUUAGUGUAAUUAUGAUGCCCCUUGUAAAUCAUAGUUAUAGCAUAACAUUAUUUUGUUCCGGUUGUGAUGAUUUAAAAAAAAUUGAUCUUUUAUUUUAUAUAUAAGAAAUUUAGCAAUUUCAUUAAUAUUAUAUAUUAUUCUACUAAUACAUUUUCAAAAAUUCAAGAGGGGAUUUAUAAAUCACCCCCUUGUUGGGCCUUUCAGCUCACAUUUAUUAGAUUUUACUCUCCAAGAUGUCUUUAAAACCAUGUUUGAAAUACCAAAAUAUUUUAGGUUAUAGGUGAACUUAAGGGGUUAUGUGAAAUUUUGUGCAAGUAUGGGGUUUAAGCGAAAAUUUUCCUUUAUUUAUUAAUAAAGCCAUUAGGCUUUUUCUUCUUGAACGGGAAGAAACAGAGGAGCAGAUGAGAGAAAAGAGAGAAAGAAAAGGAGAAAGAGAAGAAAAGAAAGGAAAUGAAAGAAGAAGAAAAGGAAGAAAAGAAGGAGAAAGGAGAAGGAAGAGAAGAGGAAAUUGAUAUGAAAAGGGGAUAGGGUGAAGAAGAAGGAAAAUUUGUAGGAGAUUUUAACACCGGCUUGGGAAAUAUCCAAAUCCGUGAGUGGGAACAAAACCUUUACCUGUAGUCAUUUUUGCAAAUUUUAUAGUAUUUAUUUUGAAAAACAUAGAUUUUUUUAUGGAAAUCUCUUACAAAACAAAAGAAAAUAAUAGUUUUCUUUAUGCAUGUUAUGGGUUUUGGUUAUGGGUGGCUAUAAGGUAAAGGUUACAUUAUUAUGAGAAUUUAGAAUGCCUAAUUAAAUUAUGUUGUGUGUAACUAAGAACUAUAAUGGAUUAAAUUUAGUUUGGUGACCAAUUGGAAGUGUGGGAAUCAAUUUAAUUGAUGUUUUGUGUUGCAGUUAAGUUAGAAGUGUUUAAUUAAGUCUAGUACAUGAUUAAAUUUGCUUAAUGUGAGUUAAUGGACAUGUUGUAUGGUCGUAGAGCCAAAGGAAAUCUUAGUUCAGUGUUAAGUAUGAGCAUUUUGUUGGCUUUGCUUAGUUAGUAUUGUAGUUGAAUGUAGAGUUGCACAUAAAUUAAUUUAAUAUUGUGGUUGUGGCAGUUUCCAAUGAUUAUUGUCCCAAAAUUUAUAAUAUUAAGUCAUUUGAUUAUAAAUAUAGUGAUAAGAAGUAUAUCAUUUAGAUGUUCUUGACUAUUACCUAUUAUGUGAUUAUGCUUUAUUUAUGCGGUAUUUCAUGUCAAGUACGACAAAUUUAAGUGUUUUGCCUAUGUGGUAUUUUAUGCCAGGUACAACAGAUUUAAAUGUUGUGUUUGUGCGGUGAUUCAUGCUAGGGACGCCCUUUGGGUAUAACAGAUUUCUCUUAAGGGUAUUAGAAGUAGCAACAAUUCAGGUGAUUGUCUGGUGAAAUGCUAUAUAAGUUGUUGAAUAAAUUAUAAGUUGUUGGAUAUAUAACAAGAAUAAAUUAUAAGUUGUUGAA